RNAcentral lists this ribosomal RNA (1159 nucleotides) under Metabacillus idriensis. Its description in RNAcentral is "bacterial SSU rRNA". It matches the Rfam family "Bacterial small subunit ribosomal RNA", at positions 136 to 1280 of the family's 1533-position model. The record is from RNAcentral. Lineage: Bacteria; Bacillati; Bacillota; Bacilli; Caryophanales; Bacillaceae.
GACUGGGCUAACUCCGGGAAACCGGAGCUAAUACCGGAUAGUAUCUUGAACCGCAUGGUUCAAGUUGGAAAGACGGUUUCGGCUGUCACUUACAGAUGGGCCCGCGGCGCAUUAGCUAGUUGGUGAGGUAAUGGCUCACCAAGGCAACGAUGCGUAGCCGACCUGAGAGGGUGAUCGGCCACACUGGGACUGAGACACGGCCCAGACUCCUACGGGAGGCAGCAGUAGGGAAUCUUCCGCAAUGGACGAAAGUCUGACGGAGCAACGCCGCGUGAGUGAUGAAGGUUUUCGGAUCGUAAAACUCUGUUGUUAGGGAAGAACAAGUGCGAGAGUAACUGCUCGCACCUUGACGGUACCUAACCAGAAAGCCACGGCUAACUACGUGCCAGCAGCCGCGGUAAUACGUAGGUGGCAAGCGUUGUCCGGAAUUAUUGGGCGUAAAGCGCGCGCAGGCGGUUUCUUAAGUCUGAUGUGAAAGCCCCCGGCUCAACCGGGGAGGGUCAUUGGAAACUGGGAAACUUGAGUGCAGAAGAGGAGAGUGGAAUUCCACGUGUAGCGGUGAAAUGCGUAGAGAUGUGGAGGAACACCAGUGGCGAAGGCGACUCUCUGGUCUGUAACUGACGCUGAGGCGCGAAAGCGUGGGGAGCGAACAGGAUUAGAUACCCUGGUAGUCCACGCCGUAAACGAUGAGUGCUAAGUGUUAGAGGGUUUCCGCCCUUUAGUGCUGCAGCUAACGCAUUAAGCACUCCGCCUGGGGAGUACGGUCGCAAGACUGAAACUCAAAGGAAUUGACGGGGGCCCGCACAAGCGGUGGAGCAUGUGGUUUAAUUCGAAGCAACGCGAAGAACCUUACCAGGUCUUGACAUCCUUUGCCACUUCUAGAGAUAGAAGGUUCCCCUUCGGGGGACAAAGUGACAGGUGGUGCAUGGUUGUCGUCAGCUCGUGUCGUGAGAUGUUGGGUUAAGUCCCGCAACGAGCGCAACCCUUGAUCUUAGUUGCCAGCAUUCAGUUGGGCACUCUAAGGUGACUGCCGGUGACAAACCGGAGGAAGGUGGGGAUGACGUCAAAUCAUCAUGCCCCUUAUGACCUGGGCUACUCACGUGCUACAAUGGAUGGUACAAAGGGCGGCGAGACCGCGAGGUUUAGCCAAUCCCAUAAA